Molecule: ribosomal RNA, 375 nt
Filed under: uncultured organism
Description: partial 16S ribosomal RNA
Rfam family: Bacterial small subunit ribosomal RNA
Source: RNAcentral
GAAGGUCCCAAGCGUUUGUUCGGAUUUACUGGGCGUAAAGCGUCUGUAGGCGGCGCGGUAAGUCAGGUGUGAAAUCCCGGGGCUCAACCCCGGAACUGCAUCCGAUACUGCCGUGCUGGAGGGUCGGAGGGGAGUCUGGAAUUCUCGGUGUAGCAGUGAAAUGCGUAGAUAUCGAGAGGAACACUAGUGGCGAAGGCGAGACUCUGGACGACACCUGACGCUGAGAGACGAAGGCCAGGGUAGCGAAAAGGAUUAGAUACCCUUGUAGUCCUGGCAGUAAACGGUGCACGCUUGGUGUGGGAGGAUUCGACCCCCUUCCGUGCCCGGAGCUAACGCGUUAAGCGUGCCGCCUGGGGGAGUACGGCCGCAAGGCUA